GGCUGUGCAUUUUUUUAAGUUGAUACAAAUGACCUCCCAAAGCUCCCACCUCCAAGCACCACACGAGGGGGAGCAGGGCUUCCACGUGCGCAUUAGGGGUCACACACGUGCCCCCCAUCACACCCCCGCUUCGGCAGCAGUCCUGACGGCCCCAUCCAUAGGCGCAGUCCCAGUUUUAAAUGCUCUCCAAGGUUCUCCGCAUUCUCCUAACUCGAUUUCCUCUCUCGCUCUAGGAAAAUGAAUUGAUGCUGACCUCAGAGAAGAGAGGACGUCGAGAUGAAGGCAGCAAGCAGUCUCAGGCUACGUGAUUCUCGGCACUCUUCCCACAGCAGAAGGAGGACCCAGCUCGGGACCCGCAGGAAAUAAAUCGGUGCGUCCGCGCUGGAGGAGGAUGGUGCGUGGACGGGCGGGUGAUGACCAGAGCGGAUACUGCUGGCAGGUCGUUGAGGCUGCUUUUGUCUUUGGCUCAGAGACAAAAGACCUGCCGUCCUCACAGUUCUGGAGGCUGGAAAUCCAAGGUCACGUGCCAGUAGACUCCGUGCCUGCUAUACACACACAUUCUUCUUCUCUUCUUCUCUUCCAUCUUGGUCGGCCUGAAGGGAUUGGAUGCAGGUCCCUGUGCGGUGCUGUAGGGUCGCAACGCCUCAGCGCUUACAUGUGGAACCUAAACUAUGGCACAGGUUUUUCCGUCCGUGCAGGAACCAAAGCGCCUCCAGGGACACCAGACGCAUUUGGCAAACAGAACUGGCCGGGUACAGUCUCGUUCAUCUAAAUUGCUCUCUAUCUGCCCAGAAACGCCAGGAUACAUGUCGGCGUCAGGGGUGUUCACCUGGCAAACGGCAGCAGAGGCGGGAGAGGCAUCCCAAGGCACCGACGGAAGGCAGGGAUGCAGGAUGCCAGCCAGGGAGGCGGGUCUGCACGCCGUGCUCGCACCACACCCAUCGGGGACAGAUGCAGACCCCAGGACUCCUGGGGAUGAGAGGGCCCCUGCUAGAGGGAUGCGGUUGGGAAUUUGAACUCAGAGAGAUGCAUCGAAGGAGCUCAGCAAAUGUGAAGCCACCGAGGCUGGCGGUUUCUGUGUCUCUGACUUUAUAUUAUAAAAUGAUGAGUAACCACAUGCCAACGGAAUGGAGACCUGCCUUCGUUUUGGUGUCUGGGGGUUGCUUCUGUUCUGAAACCACCAUUUUAUGUAAUGGUCUCAAAUGAUGGUUGUUUGCCAUAAUAAAAGAAAAAAAAUCUUUCA
This 1243-nucleotide long non-coding RNA is filed under the name Sus scrofa (pig). RNAcentral's name for it is "lncRNA (ENSSSCG00040002603.1)". The record is from RNAcentral. Lineage: Eukaryota; Metazoa; Chordata; Mammalia; Artiodactyla; Suidae.